Molecule: long non-coding RNA, 216 nt
Filed under: Physcomitrium patens
Lineage: Eukaryota; Viridiplantae; Streptophyta; Bryopsida; Funariales; Funariaceae
Description: long non-coding RNA (PPAT_LNC007256)
Source: RNAcentral
AAAAGUAACAUUACUAUUAAAGUUUUACUAUCUUUUUAUUUUUUAUCCAUAUUUUUCUACUUUAUCUUUUAAUUUGGCUCUUUUAUAAUAAGAUCCAUAUUAUUAUCUUUCACCAUAUAGCCAUGUUACAACACAACAACAGCCUCUAUGUUGCCUUCUAAAGCUUUGUUUCACCAAUUCGGUGGAAAAACAGCAAAUCUCACCAUGCCUCCACCA